AUGAACGCUGGCGGCGUGCCUAAUACAUGCAAGUCGAGCGAACAGAUGAGGAGCUUGCUCCUCUGACGUUAGCGGCGGACGGGUGAGUAACACGUGGAUAACCUACCUAUAAGACUGGGAUAACUUCGGGAAACCGGAGCUAAUACCGGAUAAUAUAUUGAACCGCAUGGUUCAAUAGUGAAAGACGGUUUUGCUGUCACUUAUAGAUGGAUCCGCGCCGCAUUAGCUAGUUGGUAAGGUAACGGCUUACCAAGGCGACGAUGCGUAGCCGACCUGAGAGGGUGAUCGGCCACACGGGAACUGAGACACGGUCCAGACUCCUACGGGAGGCAGCAGUAGGGAAUCUUCCGCAAUGGGCGAAAGCCUGACGGAGCAACGCCGCGUGAGUGAUGAAGGUCUUCGGAUCGUAAAACUCUGUUAUUAGGGAAGAACAAAUGUGUAAGUAACUAUGCACGUCUUGACGGUACCUAAUCAGAAAGCCACGGCUAACUACGUG
This 496-nucleotide ribosomal RNA is filed under the name uncultured bacterium. RNAcentral describes it as "partial 16S ribosomal RNA". It matches the Rfam family "Bacterial small subunit ribosomal RNA", at positions 29 to 507 of the family's 1533-position model. The record is from RNAcentral.